This 303-nucleotide ribosomal RNA is filed under the name uncultured bacterium. RNAcentral's name for it is "partial 16S ribosomal RNA". It matches the Rfam family "Bacterial small subunit ribosomal RNA", at positions 507 to 807 of the family's 1533-position model. The record is from RNAcentral.
AGCAGUAGCCGCGGGAAUACGAAGGGGGCUAGCGUUGCUCGGAAUCACUGGGCGUAAAGGGUGCGUAGGCGGGUCUUUAAGUCAGGGGUGAAAUCCUGGAGCUCAACUCCAGAACUGCCUUUGAUACUGAAGAUCUUGAGUUCGGGAGAGGUGAGUGGAACUGCAAGUGUAGAGGUGAAAUUCGUAGAUAUUCGCAAGAACACCAGUGGCGAAGGCGGCUCACUGGCCCGAUACUGACGCUGAGGCACGAAAGCGUGGGGAGCAAACAGGAUUAGAGACCCCCGUAGUCCCUGUCUCUUAUAC